UACGGAGGAUGCGAGCGUUAUCCGGAUUUAUUGGGUUUAAAGGGUGCGUAGGCGGGUUAUCAAGUCAGCGGUAAAAUCGUGGAGCUCAACUCCAUCCAGCCGUUGAAACUGAUGAUCUUGAGUGGGCGAGAAGUAUGCGGAGUGCGUGGUGUAGCGGUGAAAUGCAUAGAUAUCACGCAGAACUCCGAUUGCGAAGGCAGCAUACCGGCGCCCGACUGACGCUGAAGCACGAAAGCGUGGGUAUCGAACAGG
This 252-nucleotide ribosomal RNA is filed under the name uncultured bacterium. RNAcentral describes it as "partial 16S ribosomal RNA". It matches the Rfam family "Bacterial small subunit ribosomal RNA", at positions 524 to 776 of the family's 1533-position model. The record is from RNAcentral.